Molecule: non-coding RNA, 45 nt
Organism: Schistosoma mansoni
Lineage: Eukaryota; Metazoa; Platyhelminthes; Trematoda; Strigeidida; Schistosomatidae
Source: Rfam
AUCUAGCUGACGAGUCCCAGAUAGGACGAAACGCGAGUCGUGGAU